Long non-coding RNA from Juglans microcarpa x Juglans regia, 778 nucleotides. RefSeq lists it as uncharacterized. The transcript has 2 exons. The record is from RefSeq and is a predicted model, not a curated record. Lineage: Eukaryota; Viridiplantae; Streptophyta; Magnoliopsida; Fagales; Juglandaceae.
ACAGUUUGCGGGGUCCAACUGAUACGGUGAUACCCACACGUAGUUACAACUUGAUUGGCCUGUGCACUGCACGCUCUACAUACUCACGUGACCCACAGCACCCUCAUCAUCAUCGUCAUCAUUUUCUCCGUCUUAUGAAACCCAGAACUCCUCGCUCAAGUCGCUCGCUCCCUCUCUUUUUCUUAAUAAUUACCCUCCCUCCUCCAUAUUCCCUCGGUUUCCAUCCCUUAGGGUUUGUUUUUUUUUUUUUUUUCUCGCCCCAUAAAUCUCCAGAGAACAAGAAAGGAAAAAAGAAAAAAUAAUAAGAAAUGAGUAACGACAACUUCGACGUGUCAGAUUUGGGCUCCGCCCUCCCCGCCGUCGCUGCCGCUCUUAGUGAGGAGGAUCGAGCUGGUCUGAUUAACAAUUCUGCUGCAGGUACCCGCCGUUGGGUAGUUUUGGGGAAUCGGCUGACGUUGCCGAUAUUAUUUAAAAAAAAAAAAAAAAAAAUCGAUUUCAGACAUUGUUUGCAUCUCAGCUAACCCAUAUGCGCCACUGCGCAAAAGAAACUGCGAGAACUUGUCGUCUUCGUGCUGUCGACUGAGCAUUGGCCAUCAACUUGAUCCUCUUUGUGUCGUCGAACUCAUCUGAGCAUUGGCCAUCAACUUGUUGUCUUCGUGCCGUCGAAACUGCGCCAGAAGAAACUACGAGAACUUGUCGACUGAGCAUUGGCCGUUGACUGAGAGGAAAUUGCACCGAGUAGCAUGUUUCUGAGAAAAAGAAGAGAGAAGAUAAAAUA